UCUGGUGACUAUGGCGAAGAGGUCACACCCGUUCCCAUGCCGAACACGGAAGUUAAGCUCUUCAGCGCCGAUGGUAGUUGGGGGAU
This 86-nucleotide ribosomal RNA is filed under the name Bacillus sp. MKU004. Lineage: Bacteria; Bacillati; Bacillota; Bacilli; Caryophanales; Bacillaceae. The record is from RNAcentral.